This 491-nucleotide ribosomal RNA is filed under the name uncultured bacterium. RNAcentral describes it as "partial 16S ribosomal RNA". It matches the Rfam family "Bacterial small subunit ribosomal RNA", at positions 29 to 506 of the family's 1533-position model. The record is from RNAcentral.
AGUGAACGCUGGCGGUAGGCCUAACACAUGCAAGUCGAACGGCAGCACAGUAAGAGCUUGCUCUUACGGGUGGCGAGUGGCGGACGGGUGAGGAAUACAUCGGAAUCUACUUUUUCGUGGGGGAUAACGUAGGGAAACUUACGCUAAUACCGCAUACGACCUACGGGUGAAAGCAGGGGAUCUUCGGACCUUGCGCGAUUGAAUGAGCCGAUGUCGGAUUAGCUAGUUGGCGGGGUAAAGGCCCACCAAGGCGACGAUCCGUAGCUGGUCUGAGAGGAUGAGCAGCCACACGGGAACUGACACACGGUCCAGACUCCCACGGGGGGCAGCAGUGGGGAAUAUUGGACAAUGGGCGAAAGCCUGAUCCAGCCAUACCGGGUGGGUGAAGAAGGCCUUCGGGUUGUAAAGCCCUUUUGUUGGGAAAAAAAAGCAGCAGGUUAAUACCCCGCUGUUCUGGCGGUACCCAAAGAAUAAGCCCCGGCUAACUUCGU